This 416-nucleotide ribosomal RNA is filed under the name uncultured bacterium. Its description in RNAcentral is "bacterial SSU rRNA". It matches the Rfam family "Bacterial small subunit ribosomal RNA", at positions 360 to 793 of the family's 1533-position model. The record is from RNAcentral.
AAUCUUGGACAAUGGGCGCAAGCCUGAUCCAGCCAUGCCGCGUGAGUGAUGAAGGCCCUAGGGUCGUAAAGCUCUUUCGCCAGGGAUGAUAAUGACAGUACCUGGUAAAGAAACCCCCGGCUAACUCCGUGCCAGCAGCCGCGGUAAUACGGAGGGGGUUAGCGUUGUUCGGAAUUACUGGGCGUAAAGCGCGCGUAGGCGGACUGGAAAGUUGGGGUGAAAUCCCCGGGGCUCAACCCGGAACUGCCUCCAAAACUCCCAGUCUUGAGUUCGAGAGAGGUGAGUGGAAUUCCGAGUGUAGAGGUGAAAUUCGUAGAUAUUCGGAGGAACACCAGUGGCGAAGGCGGCUCACUGGCUCGAUACUGACGCUGAGGUGCGAAAGUGUGGGGAGCAAACAGGAUUAGAUACCCUGGUAG